AUCUGCCCGGUAGUGGGGGAUAACCUGGGGAAACCCAGNCUAAUACCGCAUACGUCCUACGGGAGAAAGCAGGGGACCUUCGGGCCUUGCGCUAUCGGAUGAGCCUAUGUCGGAUUAGCUGGUUGGUGAGGUAAUGGCUCACCAAGGCGACGAUCCGUAGCUGGUCUGAGAGGAUGAUCAGCCACAUCGGGACUGAGACACGGCCCGAACUCCUACGGGAGGCAGCAGUGGGGAAUAUUGGACAAUGGGCGCAAGCCUGAUCCAGCCAUGCCGCGUGUGUGAAGAAGGCCCUCGGGUUGUAAAGCACUUUCAGUGGGGAAGAAAGCCUUCCGGUUAAUACCCGGGAGGAGGGACAUCACCCACAGAAGAAGCACCGUCUAACUCCGUGCCAGCAGCCGCGGUAAUACGGAGGGUGCGAGCGUUAAUCGGNAUUACUGGGCGUAAAGCGCGCGUAGGCGGCUUGAUAAGCCGGUUGUGAAAGCCCCGGUCUCAACCUGGGAACGGCAUCCGGAACUGUCAGNCUAGAGUGCAGGAGAGGAAGGUAGAAUUCCCGGUGUAGCGGUGAUAUGCGUAGAGAUCGGGAGGAAUACCAGUGGCGAAGGCGGCCUUCUGGACUGACACUGACGCUGAGGUGCGAAAGCGUGGGUAGCAAACAGGAUUAGAUACCCUGGUAGUCCACGCCGUAAACGAUGUCGACUAGCCGUUGGCUCCUUCGCGGACUUUGUGGCGCAGUUAACGCGAUAAGUCGACCGCCUGGGGAGUACGGCCGCAAGGUUAAAACUCAAAUGAAUUGACGGGGGCCGGCACAAGCGGUGGAGCCUGUGGUUUAAUUCGAUGCAACGCGAAGUAACCUUACCUACCCUUGACAUCCUGCGAACCCUUCGGAGACGAAGGGGUGCCUUCGGGAACGCAGAGACAGGUGCUGCAUGGCUGUCGUCAGCUCGUGUUGUGAAAUGUUGGGUUAAGUCCCGUAACGAGCGCAACCCUUGUCCCUAUUUGCCAGCGAUUCGGUCGGGAACUCUAGGGAGACUGCCGGUGACAAACCGGAGGAAGGUGGGGACGACGUCAAGUCAUCAUGGCCCUUACGGGUAGGGCUACACACGUGCUACAAUGGUCAGUACAAAGGGUUGCGAACUUGCGAGAGUGAGCCAAUCCCAGAAAGCUGAUCUCAGUCCGGAUCGGAGUCUGCAACUCGACUCCGUGAAGUCGGAAUCGCUAGUAAUCGUGAAUCAGAAUGUCACGGUGAAUACGUCCCCGGGCCUUGUACACACCGCCCGUCACACCAUGGGAGUGGACUGCACCAGAAGUGGUUAGCCUAACCUUCGGGAGGGCGAUCACCACGGUGUGGUUCAUGACUGGGGUGAAGUCGUAACAAGGU
Molecule: ribosomal RNA, 1378 nt
Filed under: unidentified
Description: 16S ribosomal RNA
Rfam family: Bacterial small subunit ribosomal RNA
Source: RNAcentral